Molecule: ribosomal RNA, 253 nt
Filed under: uncultured bacterium
Lineage: Bacteria
Description: partial 16S ribosomal RNA
Rfam family: Bacterial small subunit ribosomal RNA
Source: RNAcentral
UACGUAGGGUGCGAGCGUUGUCCGGAAUUAUUGGCGUAAAGAGCUCGUAGGCGGUCUGUCGCGUCGAUCGUGAAAACUUGGGGCUUAACCCUGAGCUUGCGGUCGAUACGGGCAUGACUGGAGUUCGGCAGGGGAGACUGGAAUUCCUGGUGUAGCGGUGGAAUGCGCAGAUAUCAGGAGGAACACCAAUGGCGAAGGCAGAUCUCUGGGCCGUAACUGACGCUGAGGAGCGAAAGCAUGGGGAGCGAACAGG